AUGGGAAAUGGCGACGAGGAGAAGGUGGAAGGCCUCCACCACGCUCGGCAGCCCCCGCACGGCGAGUCUUCCUCCUCAUCCCCUUCCUCCCGCCACGCCACGAAGCGCCGACGCGCGCACGGCGCGGCAGCAGCCAUGGCCGACCGCUUCUUCCCCAACGACCUCCCCGACUUCGUCGCCGAGGCACCCGACGGCGGCGACCCUCCCGCCGCCGGGCUCCGCGGCCUGCUCUCUCUCCCUUACCCCAGGCUCUCCGACCGGCUCCUCCGCGCCGCGCUCCGGCUCAAAGACAAGGCACGCCGUCUUUGCUUCAUUUCUUGUGUUGUGGUUUCAUUUCGGGGCGCGCGCGCGCGAGGUGCUCGACUGAUUGAUCGUGUCCUGCAGGUCGUGCAAGAGACAUGGACUAGGACGGGGGGCCAGGUGACGGACUACACGCUCUACACGGGCGCGCUCGGGACGGCGCUCCUGCUGUUCAAGUCCUUCCAGGUCACCGGCGACCGCCGUGAUCUCAACCUCGCCAGCGACAUCGUCCAAGCCUGCGAUGCCGCGUCGCUUGGCCUACCGUUCUUGACUUUCAUAUGUGGGAGGGCCGGUGUCUGCGCUCUCGGAGCAGUGAUCGCGAAGCAUUGCAAUGAUCAGUUGAUGGAGACCAACUUUCUGAGCUCGUUUGAUGAGAUAAUUAUCACAGAGAAAGUUCCAAAUGAGCUGCUGUAUGGAAGGGCGGGCUAUUUGUGGGCUUGUUUGUUCCUGAAUGAGCAUCUCAGUGACAAGACAAUUCCUGCCGAACACAUUAGUUCUGUAGCAAAGGACAUAAUUAGGGAGGGAAGGAAGCUGUCGAACAAGGGGAGCUGCCCGCUGAUGUAUGAGUGGCAUGGGAAGAAGUACUGGGGUGCUGCCCAUGGACUUGCUGGAAUCAUGCAUGUUCUCAUGCACACUGAAUUGAAGCUGGAUGAGCAGGAUGACGUGAAGAAUACUCUGCAGUACAUGAUCAGUAACCGGUUUCCAAGUGGAAACUACCCCUCGAGUGAAGACAGUGAAUCCGAUCGCCUGGUGCAUUGGUGCCAUGGUGCCCCUGGUGUUGCUCUUACACUCGCUAAGGCAUAUCAGGUCUUCCAAGAUGAUCACUUCAAGCAGUCCGCUGCAGAGGCUGCUGAAGUUGUCUGGAACCGUGGUCUUCUCAAGCGAGUUGGAAUAUGCCACGGUAUAAGCGGGAAUGCCUACGUAUUCCUCUCACUUUAUAGGCUAACUGGCAAUGUUGAGUACCUCUACCGGGCUAAGGCUUUUGCUUGCUUUCUGCUUGAAAAUGCUGAUCGAUUGAUUGCUGAGGAGGCCAUGCAUGGUGGUGACCGUCCGUUUUCAUUGUUUGAAGGAAAGGCUGGGAUGGCAUAUCUCCUUUUAGACAUGGUUAACCCCUCGGAAUCAAGGUUCCCCGCCUACGAACUUUGA
Molecule: ribosomal RNA, 1446 nt
Filed under: Triticum aestivum (bread wheat)
Lineage: Eukaryota; Viridiplantae; Streptophyta; Magnoliopsida; Poales; Poaceae
Description: partial small subunit ribosomal RNA
Source: RNAcentral